This 913-nucleotide ribosomal RNA is filed under the name uncultured crenarchaeote. RNAcentral describes it as "bacterial SSU rRNA". It matches the Rfam family "Archaeal small subunit ribosomal RNA", at positions 1 to 922 of the family's 1478-position model. Lineage: Archaea; Thermoproteati; Thermoproteota. The record is from RNAcentral.
UCCGGUUGAUCCCGCCGGACCUGACUGCUAUCGGAUUGAUACUAAGCCAUGCGAGUCAUUGUAGCAAUACAAGGCAUACGGCUCAGUAACGCGUAGUCAACCUAACCUAUGGACGGGAAUAACCUCGGGAAACUGAGAAUAAUGCCCGAUAGAACACUAUACCUGGAAUGGUUUGUGUUCCAAAUGAUUUAUCGCCAUAGGAUGGGAUUGCGGCCUAUCAGUCUGUUGGUGAGGUAAUGGGCCACCAAGACUAUUACAGGUACGGGCUCUGAGAGGAGUAGCCCGGAGAUGGGUACUGAGACACGGACCCAGGCCCUAUGGGGCGCAGCAGGCGAGAAAACUUUGCAAUGUGCGAAAGCACGACAAGGUUAAUCCGAGUGAUUUGUGCUAAACGAAUCUUUUGUUAGUCCUAGAAACACUAACGAAUAAGGGGUGGGCAAGUUCUGGUGUCAGCCGCCGCGGUAAAACCAGCACCUCAAGUGGUCAGGAUGAUUAUUGGGCCUAAAGCAUCCGUAGCCGGCUCUGUAAGUUUUCGGUUAAAUCUGUACGCUUAACGUACAGGCUGCCGGGAAUACUGCAGAGCUAGGGAGUGGGAGAGGUAGACGGUACUCGGUAGGAAGUGGUAAAAUGCUUUGAUCUAACGAUGACCACCUGUGGCGAAGGCGGUCUACCAGAACACGUCCGACGGUGAGGGAUGAAAGCUGGGGGAGCAAACCGGAUUAGGUACCCGGGUAGUCCCAGCUGUAAACUAUGCAAACUCAGUGAUGCAUUGGCUUGUGGCCAAUGCAGUGCUGCAGGGAAGCCGUUAAGUUUGCCGCCUGGGAAGUACGUACGCAAGUAUGAAACUUAAAGGAAUUGGCGGGGGAGCACCACAAGGGGUGAAGCCUGCGGUUCAAUUGGAUUCAACGCCGGA